AGCGGCAGCCAUAUCACCCUGUAGCCCAAGACUGGAUACCCACUGAAGCUAAGCAGGGUUGAGCCUAGUCAGUACCUAGAUGGGAGACCUCCUGGGAAAACUAGGUUGCUGCUGAAA
Sinocyclocheilus anshuiensis is the source of this 117-nucleotide ribosomal RNA. NCBI's taxonomy places the organism in Eukaryota, Metazoa, Chordata, Actinopteri, Cypriniformes, Cyprinidae. The record is from Ensembl.